AUUAAAGUGAAACACCAAGUAGCUUUGUUGGUUUAGUGUACAAGACUACUGUAUACUAUUAUGGUCUUGUUUUGUUUAUCUGGCCAACAUGAAUUUAUACUUGGAGGCUGGUAAAUAAAACCAAAUGCUGCAUUUCAAAGCUCCCUGUUAAGGUCAUGGGUGACAUCUGACUAAAUUCAGAAAGCAAAAUCAGGACAUCCUGCUCUGUGCUUACUUGAACAUCUUGUGAGGAGUUUGCUGCAGCUGUUUUCAGAUCUAUGCCUUGCUUUUUAGCAAUGUUAAGGGUUUCAACAUUUUUUUACGUGAUGUUUAAAGUUCUGAGGCUCUUGUUCUAUACAGUCAGCAGCUAUACUAAUUACCAUAGUUCUUGAACAUGCUAGAGGUAUAUCAGUACAAUUAAUAUCAGUCAUGUACAUUUAAUCUUGGGGAAAAGUGAAAGAAAGAAAAGUUAUACUGAAAACAACUGGCAUUUCUGCAACAUAAAAUAGUGCCUCUGCUUUCAUAAGCGGCAUGCCAGAGUGAGCUAGCCUAGCCAGUGGCUGGGUUGGGCUGGAAGAAUUCUGGGCACUUGUAUUUUUGACUCAAUUUGACCUAAUCCUUAAGAGAUGUUUCAAAAUAUACAGGUAAAUGGUGAUACAUCAGUAAACAGAGCCAAUAUCUCUUCUCUUUCUGGAUGAAACAACUUCUAGAGUAACUUACUUGCUGGACAGUAUGAUUUCAAGUGAUUCCUGCCUUUCAAGUUUGAUAAGUACUUAAAGUGACAGAAAACUAGAUGAGAGUUUAGAGAUGUUAAAGUUUAAAAAAGGGAGCAAGAUUGGAAGAAGUGGUAAGAUACCAAUUUUUCUAACACAACUAUCUCAAAGGAACAAGAAUUUGAUCAUACAAGCCUCUGGUGUAGUCAGAAAUACCAUCUUUUUUCCAAACAGGUCUCCUUUGGGAUGCCAGUCCCUGGAGUGUGGCAAGCCAACAGAAAAGACAAAAGAGUCAGAUCUUGUUGCACCUGUCCAAAUUUCCACUGACCCCUGCAUCCCAUUCAUGCUGAUUACUGUGCUGUCUCUGGCACUCCUUAGACCCAUCUAAUGCCUGGCUUCAUUUAGGUAAUUGUCUUCAUUAAUGCCAGUAAGAUUUAAUGUGAGUAGAUUUAUUUACAUGGUUUAGAUUGUAAAGUUCAGUACUGACAAAUAGAGUAAAAAAGGAAAAGAAAGAUUCAUAUAGGGGGUGGGGGAAGGGGAAAUCAUAGAGUCAUAGAAUCAUAAAGGUUGGAAGAGACUAUCAAGGUCACCUACUCCAACUAAUAGAGCAGAGAGGGAGAAAAAACCCACAAAUUUAAGUCAUGAGUAUGACUCUAACUUAGAAGCGAGGACAUGGACACAAAAACAGUUCACUUUCAGUCUGUUCCAGUUUUAGGUUAAAUAUUGAUUAGGUUAGCAUUAGAACUUGGGUCUUACAUUUCUUUAGCAAUGUUUGCUUAAGAAAAAUUAUUAACUCAAAGUAAACUGUAAACAAGAAUGACUAAAAAGCCUUAACCCAUCCUGACUGGCUGACAGCCUGCUGCCUAACAUUAUGAGAGGUGUAGAUUUAAAGUUAGAUUUCAGGCCAAUAUUUGACAGGAGGUCUGCAGCAGUUUCAAAUUUCUGCGUCCCAGCUGAACACUCCGUCUAGUUUCAUGUUUCUGCUGAGAUGAGACCCAAGAGUCUGCCUAUGUGCUGCUUCAUGAGGAACCCCAGGAGACUGCAAUAGGUCCUUAAUCAAGAAACCAUGAUCCCACAGCAUCCAUCAGCAAGUUGGCUGUAAUGCAACCUGAAUAGCUCUAUUAACCUUCUCUAUAAACAAAAGUAAUAGUGGCUCACCUUGCAGAUAAAUAUGUUGAUUGUGGUUUGCUUGGAUAUUAUGGCAAUUAGAUUAGUAUUUUAAACAGACAGUGCAGAAGGACAGAUGGAAGUAAAGCCAGUGCAGG
RNAcentral lists this long non-coding RNA (1957 nucleotides) under Phasianus colchicus (ring-necked pheasant). Its description in RNAcentral is "lncRNA (ENSPCLG00000007831.1)". Lineage: Eukaryota; Metazoa; Chordata; Aves; Galliformes; Phasianidae. The record is from RNAcentral.